Molecule: ribosomal RNA, 496 nt
Filed under: uncultured bacterium
Lineage: Bacteria
Description: partial 16S ribosomal RNA
Rfam family: Bacterial small subunit ribosomal RNA
Source: RNAcentral
ACGAACGCUGGCGGCGUGCCUCAUACAUGCAAGUUGAGCGCUGAAGGUUGGUACUUGUACCCACUGGAUGAGCAGCGAACGGGUGAGUAACGCGUGGGGAAUCUGCCUUUGAGCGGGGGACAACAUUUGGAAACGAAUGCUAAUACCGCAUAAAAACUUUAAACACAAGUUUUCAGUUUGAAAGAUGCAAUUGCAUCACUCAAAGAUGAUCCCGCGUUGUAUUAGCUAGUUGGUGAGGUAAAGGCUCACCAAGGCGAUGAUACAUAGCCGACCUGAGAGGGUGAUCGGCCACAUUGGGACUGAGACACGGCCCAAACUCCUACGGGAGGCAGCAGUAGGGAAUCUUCGGCAAUGGACGAAAGUCUGACCGAGCAACGCCGCGUGAGUGAAGAAGGUUUUCGGAUCGUAAAACUCUGUUGGUAGAGAAGAACGUUGGUGAGAGUGGAAAGCUCAUCAAGUGACGGUAACUACCCAGAAAGGGACGGCUAACUACGUG